GGGAGAACUCCAAUGGCUUCUGUGUCAGCACGCCCACACCAGGCCACAACAAUGGCCGCCGCCAAUGUCCCAGUCCCUGGAGAGGUCUCACCUCCCGCCGAGAUGCACUCAGGGCCUAUCAGUGAAAGAAUCAAGAUCAUCACCUAAGAAUGAGAAGGGGUGACAACGUCUGAGCAGUUGAGGGAGAAAAGAGAAGUUCAGUUGGCUGUUCAUAUGGAGUAACUUGGAGUUGGGAAAGGACCCUUUCCUGCUGUGGCAGGUAUUGUUCUACUCUCCUCGUCAUAAUUUUAGCUACCUCAGUCCACUAAGGAUCUGCUUUAUUUUGUUUAUAACAGAAAAAUAUGAGGAUGUGCUCUAGAGGGUUCAGAUAAAUCCAGAACAUGUUUCUUCUUAGGUUCAUGAGGAGGCAUAAUUUUCAGAUUGUCUCGAAAGGAAAAUUAA
Diceros bicornis minor is the source of this 441-nucleotide long non-coding RNA. RefSeq lists it as uncharacterized. The record is from RefSeq and is a predicted model, not a curated record. The transcript has 3 exons. NCBI's taxonomy places the organism in Eukaryota, Metazoa, Chordata, Mammalia, Perissodactyla, Rhinocerotidae.